Molecule: long non-coding RNA, 494 nt
Organism: Diceros bicornis minor
Lineage: Eukaryota; Metazoa; Chordata; Mammalia; Perissodactyla; Rhinocerotidae
Exons: 3
Source: RefSeq, a predicted model, not a curated record
CAGGUGCGCAGGUGGCUGCCUCGGAGGUUUGUGUAGGGGGAUUGGCGGUUUCUGGAUCCUUCCUCCAUGAUUUUCAGCACAGGGGAGCUCUCCUUUCUGCAGUGUGGAGGAGCGCUGGGCAGGAGGCGGCGCUGAGGGGUAAUGCAUCCGGUGACUUUAACUUAGAGUCAAUGCUCAAAUGGAACAACAAAGCCUGGAUGACAGCACAUCUGUUUAGUACAUCGUUCACUGAAUAUUUUGAACUCAUUGUUGAGACCUACCGCCCAGAGAAAGAGAUUCCUUUCAAAAUAUGACUGCUCACUGGCCACGGGGACCAGUUCCACAUCCCAUAGAGUGUUGCCCAGAGCUCUACCCUCGUGGUGGUCCCACUCAGAGGUGGUGAGGAGGGGGACGGAGCCUGGCGGUGCAACAGCCAGAGGCCUGAGAUGGUGUUCGCUGUGCGGCCACGAUCUGCUCCCAUUGGCCAGGCAACGAGGAGAAACCACCGUCUCCUU